UUCAAAGUAGGGUUUCCAGCCACAAAUAUGGUUUCAAGUAAUGUUAUAAUCCUUAAAGCCAGGCUUAUUGUUUCAAACCAAGGCUUGUGUUCAAAUUGGGGUUUCAAGAUAGACUUUGGGUUUCGAAGUAAGGUUUCAAACCACAGUAAGAGUUUUAAGUUAACAUCUCAAGCCAGCCAUUUGGUUUCAAACAAGUGUUUAGGCUUCAAACGAGAGUUUCAAGCCAGUAUUAGGCUUCCAAAGUAAGGUAUCAAGAGAUGUUUCCGAUUCCAUAUUGGGGGUUCAAACCAAUGUUUGGGUUUCAAGUCAGGGUCAGAGUUUUUUUAAAAAUUGUUAACAUUUCUAUUUCAUCUUUAAAGUCAGUGCUAAAGUUUCAAACCAGAUUAAAAAAAAAAAAAAAGGAAUAAAAAGAUGUAUUUUGAAAUGAUAUAGAAUAAAAUAACGUGGUUAUUUUUUGUAUUGUUUUGAAAUCUAUAAAAUACAAUGACUAAUUAAGCCACUGAAGUACCUAAAUUCAUAAAUGGGAUUAAAGGGCAUCUCUCAUUUUCCACAUAUGGGCGGCGGUAAUAAAAGAAUUGAGGGAAGGCGUAUAGCAUAAAGAUGAGAGAACCUGAAAACGUUUGUUGACGCUCCCUUGCAGACCCGCUGCGGGAGCGUCGCUUCCCGUCAACAGCUGCGGCGCGUUAUUAAUAAAUAGACUUGUUUACACGUAUGAACAUAAGACAGCAUCUACAACGCCGACACGCAGAUAACAUCAGGCUCGCAGGUCUCAUUCGGCGAGAUGUGAGGCCAUGAGCAUUUGGCAGUUUUUUGGGUGGUGCUGACGGCUGCGGGGCCCAUUAGCGACAGAUCCCAGCCUCCAGCAGACCACGCGUGUCCCCCGGUGACACAUUUUUGGACCGGCACCAACAAUCCAACCCUCGGCAGACAGCUCACUUUCCCUCUGUGCUCCGCGUGUGUGUGUGUGUGUGUGUGUGUGUGUGCGCGUGCGCGUGUGUGAGUGCGAGCACAGCAUGAGUCCCACAGGAAAUGCUUGAAAGGCAGUACGGGACAGAUUGGCGAUGGCGCACGGCGGCGAUGAAUACCGAAAGGAGACGGCAGAGGAGACAUCUUGCAUACGGGACGUUUGUUGCAGUGCAUGCUGGUCCGCGCCACCAACUGUACUGUACUCGACUACGUUAAACGCCGACAUGCCGGCCAUGUGAUACAUAUUCAGUUGAUAUAUUUAACGGGCGAAGGAGAUUCUUAUUAAUCCGAAGGCGGCGUGAUUAUGGAACGAUAUGUCAUUGGCGCACAAAAGAAGAGUGGAUGUUACGAAUGGAUUCUUUCUCCGUGCUAAUACGGAGUUAAUUAUGGAGCUAAUGACUCCUCACAAAGGCUUGUGUGAUUAGUCCAGGAAAGUUCCUAUACUUGUCAUUACAUGUUUAAUGUCGGCCAUUCCUCAUUUCCAAAAGAGAAGUCUAUCAGUGACACCACAAUCUUUUCUCUCACUUGCGCCACCACUUUUUUUUUUUUUUUUUUUUUUUUUCCACAGUUAUUCUCAUCAUAUCAUAUUAUCACACUGCUCACAACUUGAAAACUUGUAUUUUCCGUAUUCAUGGAACGUGUGGAAUGAGGAGUGCCCAACUGACCUGACGAUACGCGAUGUCUUCACUGUCAUUGGGCGAAAAUAACAAAUGUCACAACAUCGUGGAGUGACCACGUGUCAGAGUCAAAUUGGUCAGGUCAUCUUCAAUCCUUUGCGGUGAACUUACUUCCAACACUGUAAGUAUCUACAUGUAAUACAUAUUUACGUCCUUUCGAACUUGUCAAUUGUCACGUAGGUCCUCCAACAUGUCUGUGUCCGUUAUUUCUCGUGAACUCGCUGCCAUUAUACCGUCGAAAGUUAAAUAUGAUAAAUGCGUGAAACAGCCCGAGAGAGACGAUGUCGUGAAACUCAUCGGUCGCUGAGAUUCGUGUUGUCGUUAUCGUGCGAUGGAGUCGAGAUUCUACGGGAAAGCCGUCGCCGAUGUUGGUUAGCAAUCAAGUGGCUCAACAGGAUCUUGAGGAUAGCUGCAAUGAAGACAAGUGACCCUGUGCAGUCAGUGUGACUCGAAGGGUCAAGGGUUAAGUUCAAGAUAUUUGCAUUCACAAAGCAUAAUAUUUUAGUGUCAUUUUAUAGUGAUUGUAUUGUUGGACUUAAGACCUUGUUGACUUCAAUAAAAGUCAGAUUUUUUUAACCCCCCCCAAAAUUAGCCUCUUAAUUGCAUCGUUUAUAUUUACUUAGAAUACCCAAAAUAAAAAUGGUUAGCUUGAACCUGGAACCAGAUAUUUAAAAAUAAUAGUGGCGGAUCUUGAUUUUUGUGCACGCCAAAGGCUUACUGGCGUGAUGGCCAAUUUUGGCAGACCAAUCUGCACCAAGAUGGCCGUCCUUUGACACAUGCUGCAUUGUUAAUUUGAUGCCAGAAUGCCGCUCUCAACUUUUGCCUUC
This is a long non-coding RNA of Phyllopteryx taeniolatus (common seadragon), 2470 nucleotides long. RefSeq lists it as uncharacterized. The record is from RefSeq and is a predicted model, not a curated record. The transcript has 3 exons. Lineage: Eukaryota; Metazoa; Chordata; Actinopteri; Syngnathiformes; Syngnathidae.